RNAcentral lists this ribosomal RNA (400 nucleotides) under uncultured bacterium. Its description in RNAcentral is "bacterial SSU rRNA". It matches the Rfam family "Bacterial small subunit ribosomal RNA", at positions 28 to 432 of the family's 1533-position model. The record is from RNAcentral.
GAUGAACGCUAGCGGCAGGCUUAACACAUGCAAGUCGAGGGGUAUGCUUCUUCGGAAGCAGAGACCGGCGCACGGGUGCGUAACGCGUAUGCAAUCUACCUUUUACAGAGGGAUAGCCCAGAGAAAUUUGGAUUAAUACCUCAUAGUAUUAUAGAAUGGCAUCAUUUUAUAAUUAAAGUCACAACGGUAAAGAUGAGCAUGCGUCCCAUUAGCUAGNGGUAAGGUAACGGCUUACCAAGGCUACGAUGGGUAGGGGUCCUGAGAGGGAGAUCCCCCACACUGGUACUGAGACACGGACCAGACUCCUACGGGAGGCAGCAGUGAGGAAUAUUGGACAAUGGGCGCAAGCCUGAUCCAGCCAUGCCGCGUGCAGGAUGACGGUCCUAUGGAUUGUAAACUG